This 587-nucleotide long non-coding RNA is filed under the name Physcomitrium patens. RNAcentral's name for it is "long non-coding RNA (PPAT_LNC010231)". The record is from RNAcentral. Lineage: Eukaryota; Viridiplantae; Streptophyta; Bryopsida; Funariales; Funariaceae.
GUUUGAUUUAGGAUCAGGAUUUAAUUAGGAUUUGGUUUAGGAUUUAGGAUUAAGAUUAGAGUUUGGUUAGGAUUUGAUUUAGGGUUAGGAUUUGGUUAGAGUUUGGUUAAGAUUUGAUUUAGGCUUAGAAUUUGAUUUAGGGUUUAGGGUUUAGAAUUUGGUUAGGAUUUGAUUUAGGAUUUAAGAUUUGGUUUAGGAUUUAACGUUUGGUUAAGAUUUGAUCAAGAUUUGAUUUAGGAUUUAUGAUUUGAUUUAGGAUUUAAGGUCUGGUUAGGAUUUGAUUAGGAUUUGAUUUAGGGUUUAGGAUUUUAUUUGAGUUUAUUUAGGAUUUAAGAUUUAGUUAGUUUUUGGCCUAAAGUUUGAAUGAAGUAAGAUUUCAACUAAGAUUAAAUUAAGAUUGAAUUGGGAUGUAUUUGAGAUAUAUUUGUAAUCAUUUUAAUAUUUCUUUAAGAUUUCUUAUUAUAUCUUUGGAAUUCUUUUGAGGUUUCUCUGAAUUUGAUUAAAGCUUAUUUAGCAUUGUUAGUGUUCUAUUAGAAUUAAGAUUUUGUUAUUGCAAUGUUUAUUCUACCUUCCACAACCAGGUGCUU